RNAcentral lists this ribosomal RNA (301 nucleotides) under uncultured bacterium. Its description in RNAcentral is "partial 16S ribosomal RNA". It matches the Rfam family "Bacterial small subunit ribosomal RNA", at positions 509 to 807 of the family's 1533-position model. The record is from RNAcentral.
CAGUAGCCGCGGUAAUACGAAGGGUGCAAGCGUUAAUCGGAAUUACUGGGCGUAAAGCGCACGUAGGCGGAUCGAUCAGUCAGGGGUGAAAUCCUGGAGCUCAACUCCAGAACUGCCUUUGAUACUGUCGAUCUCGAGUCCGGAAGAGGUGAGUGGAACUCCUAGUGUAGAGGUGGAAUUCGUAGAUAUUAGGAAGAACACCAGUGGCGAAGGCGGCUCACUGGUCCGGUACUGACGCUGAGGUGCGAAAGCGUGGGGAGCAAACAGGAUUAGAUACCCCAGUAGUCCCUGUCUCUUAUAC